RNAcentral lists this ribosomal RNA (1070 nucleotides) under Campylobacter coli. RNAcentral's name for it is "partial 23S ribosomal RNA". It matches the Rfam family "Bacterial large subunit ribosomal RNA", at positions 1158 to 2063 of the family's 2925-position model. The record is from RNAcentral. Lineage: Bacteria; Pseudomonadati; Campylobacterota; Epsilonproteobacteria; Campylobacterales; Campylobacteraceae.
UUUGCGCGGAAAAUAUAACGGGGCUAAAGUAAGUACCGAAGCUGUAGACUUGCGCACAACUUAGAUUAUUUAAGUUUAGAAUAUGAGAAACUAAGUUAUAUGUUUAGUUAUAUUUUUACUGAUUUUUAUAGAGUAAAGAUAGAAAUAAAACUUAGUAAAAUCAGUAAAAAUAUUCUUAGACUAAAGUUAAGUAGUUUAAGUUGUGUGCAAGUGGUAGGAGAGCGUUCUAUUUGCGUCGAAGGUAUACCGGUAAGGAGUGCUGGAGCGAAUAGAAGUGAGCAUGCAGGCAUGAGUAGCGAUAAUUAAUGUGAGAAUCAUUAACGCCGUAAACCCAAGGUUUCCUACGCGAUGCUCGUCAUCGUAGGGUUAGUCGGGUCCUAAGUCGAGUCCGAAAGGGGUAGACGAUGGCAAAUUGGUUAAUAUUCCAAUACCAACAUUAGUGUGCGAUGGAAGGACGCUUAGGGCUAAGGGGGCUAGCGGAUGGAAGUGCUAGUCUAAGGUCGUAGGAGGUUAUACAGGCAAAUCCGUAUAACAAUACUCCGAGAACUGAAAGGCUUUUUGAAGUCUUCGGAUGGAUAGAAGAACCCCUGAUGCCGUCGAGCCAAGAAAAGUUUCUAAGUUUAGCUAAUGUUGCCCGUACCGUAAACCGACACAGGUGGGUGGGAUGAGUAUUCUAAGGCGCGUGGAAGAACUCUCUUUAAGGAACUCUGCAAAAUAGCACCGUAUCUUCGGUAUAAGGUGUGGUUAGCUUUGUAUUAGGAUUUACUCCGAAAGCAAGGAAACUUACAACAAAGAGUCCCUCCCGACUGUUUACCAAAAACACAGCACUCUGCUAACUCGUAAGAGGAUGUAUAGGGUGUGACGCCUGCCCGGUGCUCGAAGGUUAAUUGAUGGGGUUAGCAUUAGCGAAGCUCUUGAUCGAAGCCCGAGUAAACGGCGGCCGUAACUAUAACGGUCCUAAGGUAGCGAAAUUCCUUGUCGGUUAAAUACCGACCUGCAUGAAUGGCGUAACGAGAUGGGAGCUGUCUCAAAGAGGGAUCCAGUGAAAUUGUAGUGGAGGUGAAAAUUCC